UACGUAGGUGGCAAGCGUUAUCCGGAAUUAUUGGGCGUAAAGAGCGCGCAGGUGGUUGAUUAAGUCUGAUGUGAAAGCCCACGGCUUAACCGUGGAGGGUCAUUGGAAACUGGUCGACUUGAGUGCAGAAGAGGGAAGUGGAAUUCCAUGUGUAGCGGUGAAAUGCGUAGAGAUAUGGAGGAACACCAGUGGCGAAGGCGGCUUCCUGGUCUGUAACUGACACUGAGGUGCGAAAGCGUGGGGAGCAAACAGGAUUAGA
This 259-nucleotide ribosomal RNA is filed under the name uncultured prokaryote. RNAcentral describes it as "partial 16S ribosomal RNA". It matches the Rfam family "Bacterial small subunit ribosomal RNA", at positions 524 to 782 of the family's 1533-position model. The record is from RNAcentral.